This 444-nucleotide ribosomal RNA is filed under the name Triticum aestivum (bread wheat). RNAcentral describes it as "partial small subunit ribosomal RNA". Lineage: Eukaryota; Viridiplantae; Streptophyta; Magnoliopsida; Poales; Poaceae. The record is from RNAcentral.
AUGGAUGCUAAGGAAAGAAGGAAACGAAACAGAGAGCGCUAUGCACAGAUGGCCGAUGAAAAAAGAGAGGAAAAACUCAAAAAACACCAUGAAGCCUAUCAACGAAAGAAAGAAAAAAUAUGCUCACAACAAAGGCAGAUAUAUGCAAAAAUGCAGCCGGAACAAAAGAAAGCUAGAAUAGAACAUAUCAAUGAAUUGAAACGCAACACAGCAAGCAAAGACUCCAUUGCACUGGAGAACCCUGCCUAUAUUGCAACUGAAAAAGAAGUUGGUACUUCUACCAUUCCUGAUUACAGAAAGCAUGUCACACCAGGAGAAAGGCAAACAUUGCUACACCGUCGUAACAAAGAAUUCACGACAAGACAGAGGCAUGUAUCAUCGAAACAAGAUGUAUCUAUGAAGGAAACCGGCGACGAUGACACAGAACCUCUACAGCAACCAUAA